UACAGGGGGGGCAAGCGUUGUUCGGAAUUACUGGGCGUAAAGGGUUCGUAGGUGGCCACUUAAGUCAGACGUGAAAUCCCUCAGCUUAACUGGGGAACUGCGUCUGAUACUGGGUGGCUUGAGUGCAGGAGAGGAAUGCGGAAUUCCAGGUGUAGCGGUGAAAUGCGUAGAUAUCUGGAGGAACACCGGUGGCGAAGGCGGCGUUCUGGACUGCAACUGACGCUGAGGCGCGAAAGCGUGGGGAGCGAACGGG
This 253-nucleotide ribosomal RNA is filed under the name uncultured bacterium. RNAcentral describes it as "partial 16S ribosomal RNA". It matches the Rfam family "Bacterial small subunit ribosomal RNA", at positions 524 to 776 of the family's 1533-position model. The record is from RNAcentral.